GGCACAAACCUGAAGUAGAGUAGUUUAGUAGGGUCAGAAAAUCAUACUGUUCUACACUACUUCAAGUUUGGGCCC
Non-coding RNA from Haemonchus placei, 75 nucleotides. Lineage: Eukaryota; Metazoa; Nematoda; Chromadorea; Rhabditida; Trichostrongylidae. The record is from Rfam.